This 750-nucleotide ribosomal RNA is filed under the name Ruegeria sp. Rg293. RNAcentral's name for it is "bacterial SSU rRNA". It matches the Rfam family "Bacterial small subunit ribosomal RNA", at positions 60 to 859 of the family's 1533-position model. Lineage: Bacteria; Pseudomonadati; Pseudomonadota; Alphaproteobacteria; Rhodobacterales; Roseobacteraceae. The record is from RNAcentral.
AGUCGAGCGCACCUUCGGGUGAGCGGCGGACGGGUUAGUAACGCGUGGGAACAUACCCUUUGGUACGGAAUAGCCUCUGGAAACGGAGAGUAAUACCGUAUGAGCCCUUCGGGGGAAAGAUUUAUCGCCAAAGGAUUGGCCCGCGUUAGAUUAGGUAGUUGGUGGGGUAAUGGCCUACCAAGCCUACGAUCUAUAGCUGGUUUUAGAGGAUGAUCAGCAACACUGGGACUGAGACACGGCCCAGACUCCUACGGGAGGCAGCAGUGGGGAAUCUUGGACAAUGGGGGCAACCCUGAUCCAGCCAUGCCGCGUGAGUGAUGAAGGCCUUAGGGUCGUAAAGCUCUUUCGCCUGUGAAGAUAAUGACGGUAGCAGGUAAAGAAACCCCGGCUAACUCCGUGCCAGCAGCCGCGGUAAUACGGAGGGGGUUAGCGUUGUUCGGAAUUACUGGGCGUAAAGCGCACGUAGGCGGACUGGAAAGUUGGGGGUGAAAUCCCAGGGCUCAACCCUGGAACUGCCUCCAAAACUAUCAGUCUAGAGUUCGAGAGAGGUGAGUGGAAUUCCGAGUGUAGAGGUGAAAUUCGUAGAUAUUCGGAGGAACACCAGUGGCGAAGGCGGCUCACUGGCUCGAUACUGACGCUGAGGUGCGAAAGUGUGGGGAGCAAACAGGAUUAGAUACCCUGGUAGUCCACACCGUAAACGAUGAAUGCCAGUCGUCGGGUAGCAUGCUAUUCGGUGACACACCUAACGGA